RNAcentral lists this signal recognition particle RNA (223 nucleotides) under Gorilla gorilla gorilla (western lowland gorilla). Its description in RNAcentral is "Metazoan signal recognition particle RNA". It matches the Rfam family "Metazoan signal recognition particle RNA". Rfam says of the family: The signal recognition particle (SRP) is a universally conserved ribonucleoprotein. It is involved in the co-translational targeting of proteins to membranes. The record is from Rfam by way of RNAcentral. Lineage: Eukaryota; Metazoa; Chordata; Mammalia; Primates; Hominidae.
GCCGGGUGUUGUGGUGCACACCUGUAAUCCCAGCUACUCAGGAGGCUGAGCCAGGGGAAUCGCUUGAACCCAGGAGGUGGAGGUUGCGAUGAGCCAAGAUCGCGCCACUGCACUCCAGCCUGGGUGACGNNNNNNNNNNUGUCACCCAGGCUGGAGUGCAGUGGCAAGAUCUUGGCUCACUACAAGCUCCACCUUCUGGGUUCAUGCCAUUCUCCUGCCUCAG